GUGAAAUUGAUGAAGAUAAUUUAAAAAAAAUUUUAAGACAAGAUGUAGUUAGAUAUCCCGAUCCACACUCCAUACCAGUUGGUGGCGGUAAUGCACCAAAACGUUGUUUGCCAACCGCCAUAAAACACCAAGAAGAAGGAGAAUGCAGAGUUUCUUCCUGACGUAAGCAACAGAUAAAUAAUGGAAUACCAGAUUUUUCUGAUGCUCUUUAUGAUUCAAGUGAUGAUAGCACAGAGGGCCCUUCCAUUUCGAAGUCUGAAAUGGCUUUACAAAGGUCCAGGAGAGGCUGUUGGCGUCCUACUUGCUGUCGGUCACAUUGAAGGAGUGUGCAACAUUGUCUCCAGGUUAUGCGCUACCUCUGUGAGUGCUCGUCUGGUUCUGCAUGAAGGGGAGGGAUUUAAAGGACCCUUUUCACGUGACGUCACGACAAACGCAGCCGCCAUUUUGGACAUGUACUACCAGUAGUUUACCACAGCCAGCAUUGAGGAACGGCAGCAAAAAAAGUGUUUAUUUUCAGCAAGACUUCCAUCAUGCCACUAUAUUGUUGUGCACCUGGAUGUAGUAACCAUCAACAAACAAGGCAAGGGUUAUCAUUUUAUCGGAUCCCGACGGAGAAGAUGGAUAGCGGCCAUUAAAAAAAAAUUAACAGAUUGGCAGCCCUCGGCAUACCAGCGCUUGUGUAGUGACCACUUUGUUGGAGAUGCCAGCAUGCCAUAAGCACAGGAGUCAUAAGAUGAGGGCAGUGUGACAUCCCUGCACAAAUAUACCUCCACAUCAUAUGCCCAAAACCAAAGGAAGUCAGCAACAAAGACAGGUAAACAAACUGCUGUCAAAAAAAGCUGGACACCAGAGAAAUCUGCUGCGGUCAAAAAGCAUUUAAGGAAAUUCAUAGUGAGGAGCCAAGUUCCAGGGAAAAUGGACUGUCAGCACUGCAUUACUGCAGAACCUAAAGCCCUAGGAAACCGAGACUGGAAAGCAGUUAAAUAUUUCAUCAAAAAUCGAAUUUCUGCCAUGAGAAGAAAAGUAGAGUGACUGGCUACAAGAUGUAAGCAGUGUAGAUUCGACUUUAUUCAGUCUGUACCUGCCAGGUAGUUAACACUAGCUAGCCAGCUGUAUGUAGAAACCAGUUCUUUCCAGUCCGAGAGGCAUACAACCAUGUAACGGUAAUUCUAGUUUUCCUUGUUUUAUGUGGUUCAAGUUUUUUGUUGAUCUUUUGUUAAGAAGGACCACAGUAGGGGUGGUAAAAAAAAAAAAUCAAUAUUGCAAUACAUCACAAUACUUCCUCUUUUUGUGUUCUGUUAAUUUUCACAGAAUAAAGCAAGA
Molecule: long non-coding RNA, 1323 nt
Organism: Neoarius graeffei (lesser salmon catfish)
Lineage: Eukaryota; Metazoa; Chordata; Actinopteri; Siluriformes; Ariidae
Exons: 5
Source: RefSeq, a predicted model, not a curated record